RNAcentral lists this ribosomal RNA (244 nucleotides) under uncultured bacterium. Its description in RNAcentral is "partial 16S ribosomal RNA". It matches the Rfam family "Bacterial small subunit ribosomal RNA", at positions 92 to 334 of the family's 1533-position model. The record is from RNAcentral.
CGACCGGCGCACGGGUGAGUAACACGUAUCCAACCUGCCGUCUACUCUUGGCCAGCCUUCUGAAAGGAAGAUUAAUCCAGGAUGGGAUCAUGAGUUCACAUGUCCGCAUGAUUAAAGGUAUUUUCCGGUAGACGAUGGGGAUGCGUUCCAUUAGAUAGUAGGCGGGGUAACGGCCCACCUAGUCAACGACGGAUAGGGGUUCUGAGAGGAAGGUCCCCCACAUUGGAACUGAGACACGGUCCAA